GGAAGGGUCUCUUUCUAGAGAUCUCUCCCUUUGGUGUUUUCUACUGAGAGCCUUGGACAUGGGUGAGUAUUUCAUUUUUUAUUAUCUCUUUCCACUAUGAUGAUCUUUCUAACUAUAAACCUGUUAAAUACUAUCCUAACCAUAAUACUCUUCUAAUUGUGCAUUUGUUAAUUGUACAUACUUUAAUAAUGCUUUGGUGUCCUCUGCAAAGCAGUGUGUCUGCAUGUGAGGUGAGGCAUGCUUGUUGCCCCCAGCAGGGUUUAAUUAGUAUUUAUUGCACACAUACCUAAGGCACUGUUGAAUUAAUCUGAAAAAAAUGGGUGAUGCUGUGAGGUGAUUGUGACUGGAAUUAGUCACUGAUGCUUUUACUUACAUUUUGAACAAAUGUUUCCAUGUUUUAGCAUGAAUAUUAAUGCUUUGGGUUUGAUUUCACUUGCGGGAGAGAAAAGUUACUCUUCUUUAGUGAGCACCAAAAUAACAAAUUGCUUCAAAUGAAUCACCUUCUCCUACACCUUUAGCACAUGAAAAAUGUCCACAACAUUCUGCGUGUCAAAUGUCCCCCUGUGUUUUUACCUGCUUACUGAACCAGGGAACUCUGCCUUUGAAGGUGUAGGAGCUUCUUCGUGUAGCCGAGGGGUCUGGCUGCUUGCAGCAGAGCAGAAGCGUACCUGAGCCCUGUGUGCCCCUGAAUGGAAGCAGGGGGCCGCUCUCAGUAGCUACAAACACUUGUGAAACUGCAAAGCAGAUGUUUGUAUUAUCUAAUGAGUCCCAAGCGAUCUUAAUUGGCAGUUUUGAGAUGUUGCUGUUUCAAAGAUGCAUCUGACUACACACAGGUGCUGUAUUCGCGCACAGCUGCUUUUGGGGGCUGUGUCCAUCUAAGGAGUAUUUCUCAGCUGUGACUGUAGCAGGGAAAUGGCUGUGGGCUGCCUCACACAGUCCCAGCCCUGCCCUGCACGCCCUGGAGCUUGCAGCCAAGCCCCUUUGGCAGCAAUGACACUGAGCUGCAGACGUGAUUCUAGAUGCAGCAAUGGGACCAUGUGGGAUGCUUGGUGCCAGCUGGGUUGGGAAGAGCUGCUCUUGCCACGAAUGCUACAGAAAGAUUUUGGAGUCACUGUGUCAGCUGUAUCUGUCAACACACCUCUGUGAAAGUGAUACCAGCACAUUCACAGCUUCAGAGGCAGCCUCAUAAAUUGCCAUGCUCAGCAAGUUAUGGGUGUUACUGCAUGAACUUCUAAUGAGGUAUCUUAUGGAAAUGCAUCAGAGACUGAGUUGGACUCACUAUCAGAGCAGUCCAUCGAGGACAGAAAGUGCUGCCAUCCAACAUCAAAUGAACAGCACCUGCACAACUGUUCAUAUUCACAGAUGAGUCCAUUUUAAACUCAUUCUGAGAAUGCUGAAUUUGAUAGUUUAAGAGCUAAUUUAAUGUUGUUCAUGAUCAUCUAGCAGUGGACGUCAAAAGAAGACUGAAAAUACACGAUAACAUUGGCAAGCAAAUGCUGAAAUCUCAUAGAUUCUGCAAGGCUAGAGAGGGAUCACAGUAAUGAUUCUUCAGAAGGCUGACAGGAGAAUUAACAGUCUUUUUUCGUUUCUUGAUAAGAAAGUAAAUAGAUAAUUUACAAAAUAAAGUGUACAGGAAAGAAGAUCCA
This 1646-nucleotide long non-coding RNA is filed under the name Phasianus colchicus (ring-necked pheasant). Its description in RNAcentral is "lncRNA (ENSPCLG00000005578.1)". Lineage: Eukaryota; Metazoa; Chordata; Aves; Galliformes; Phasianidae. The record is from RNAcentral.